This 492-nucleotide ribosomal RNA is filed under the name uncultured bacterium. RNAcentral's name for it is "partial 16S ribosomal RNA". It matches the Rfam family "Bacterial small subunit ribosomal RNA", at positions 29 to 507 of the family's 1533-position model. The record is from RNAcentral.
AGUGAACGCUGGCGGUAGGCCUAACACAUGCAAGUCGAACGGCAGCACAGUAAGAGCUUGCUCUUACGGGUGGCGAGUGGCGGACGGGUGAGGAAUACAUCGGAAUCUACUUUUUCGUGGGGGAUAACGUAGGGAAACUUACGCUAAUACCGCAUACGACCUACGGGUGAAAGCAGGGGAUCUUCGGACCUUGCGCGAUUGAAUGAGCCGAUGUCGGAUUAGCUAGUUGGCGGGGUGAAGGCCCACCAAGGCGACGAUCCGUAGCUGGUCUGAGAGGAUGAUCAGCCACACUGGAACUGAGACACGGUCCAGACUCCUACGGGAGGCAGCAGUGGGGAAUAUUGGACAAUGGGCGCAAGCCUGAUCCAGCCAUACCGCGUGGGUGAAGAAGGCCUUCGGGUUGUAAAGCCCUUUUGUUGGGGAAGAAAAGCAGCAGGUUAAUACCCCGCUGUUCUGACGGUACCCAAAGAAUAGGCACCGGCUAACUUCGUG